UUUACACAUGCAAGUCGAACGGCAGCGGGUCCUUCGGGAUGCCGGCGAGUGGCGAACGGGUGAGUAAUGCAUCGGAACGUACCCAGUCGUGGGGGAUAACUACUCGAAAGAGUGGCUAAUACCGCAUACGACCUGAGGGUGAAAGCGGGGGACCGCAAGGCCUCGCGCGAUUGGAGCGGCCGAUGUCGGAUUAGCUAGUUGGUGGGGUAAAGGCUUACCAAGGCGACGAUCCGUAGCUGGUCUGAGAGGACGACCAGCCACACUGGGACUGAGACACGGCCCAGACUCCUACGGGAGGCAGCAGUGGGGAAUUUUGGACAAUGGGCGCAAGCCUGAUCCAGCCAUGCCGCGUGCGGGAAGAAGGCCUUCGGGUUGUAAACCGCUUUUGUCAGGGAAGAAAAGCUCUGGGCUAAUACCUCGGGGUGAUGACGGUACCUGAAGAAUAAGCACCGGCUAACUACGUGCCAGCAGCCGCGGUAAUACGUAGGGUGCGAGCGUUAAUCGGAAUUACUGGGCGUAAAGCGUGCGCAGGCGGUUGUGCUAGACAGAUGUGAAAUCCCCGGGCUUAACCUGGGAACUGCAUUUGUGACUGCACGGCUAGAGUGUGGCAGAGGGGGAUGGAAUUCCGCGUGUAGCAGUGAAAUGCGUAGAUAUGCGGAGGAACACCGAUGGCGAAGGCAAAUCCCCUGGGCCUGCACUGACGCUUCAUUGCCACGAAAGCAUGGGGAAGCAAAACAGGAUUAGGAUACCCUGGUAGUCCACGCCCUAAACGAUUGUCAACUUGGUUGUUGGGGGAAUUUCAUUUCCUUCCAGUAACGAAAGCUAAACGCGUGAAGUUUGACCCGCCCUGGGGGAGUACGGCCGCAAGGUUGAAACUCCAAAGGAAAUUGACGGGGACCCGCACAAGCGGUUGGAUGAUGUGGUUUAAUUCGAUGCAACGCGAAAAACCUUACCUACCCUUGACAUGCCCAGGAACCCCUGCAGAGAUGGUGGGGGGUGCUCGAAAGAAGAGCCUGGACACCAGGUGCUGCAAUGGCCCGUCGUCAGCUUCGUGUCGUGAGAUGUUGGGUUUAAGUCCCCGCAAACGAGCGCAAACCCCUUGCCCAUUAAGUUGCUACGAAAAGGGCACUCUAAAUGGGACUGCCGGUGACAAACCCGGAGGAAGGGUGGGGAUGACGUCAGGUCCUCAUGGCCCUUAUGGGUAGGGCUACACACGUCAUACAAUGGCCGGUACAGAGGGCUGCCAACCCGCGAGGGGGAGCCAAUCCCAGAAAACCGGUCGUAGUCCGGAUCGCAGUCUGCAACUCGACUGCGUGAAGUCGGAAUCGCUAGUAAUCGCGGAUCAGCAUGUCGCGGUGAAUACGUUCCCGGGUCUUGUACACACCGCCCGUCACACCAUGGGAGCGGGUUCUGCCAGAAGUGGGUAGCCUAACCGCAAGGAGGGCGCUUACCACGGCAGGGUUCGUGACUG
This 1471-nucleotide ribosomal RNA is filed under the name uncultured bacterium. Its description in RNAcentral is "bacterial SSU rRNA". It matches the Rfam family "Bacterial small subunit ribosomal RNA". The record is from RNAcentral.